Molecule: long non-coding RNA, 591 nt
Filed under: Marmota monax (woodchuck)
Lineage: Eukaryota; Metazoa; Chordata; Mammalia; Rodentia; Sciuridae
Source: RNAcentral
CAGGUUUUUAAAAAUUUUCUCAUUAACCAUACUUAGUCCUAGAAUGAGGAUGUUCUGAGGUUUGGGAGUGAAAUUUGUGUAAGAUUCAGGAAAAAGUACUCGACUGUUUUAAGCCUCCAAGUCCUCAUCUGUAAAGUGGGGAAGGUAGUUGUCUGAGGAACAAAUGGGACCCAUCUACAAAUAUGGAUCACAGAGGUUGGCAGACAUAAGUACCCAAUAAGUAUUAGUUGUUAUUAAGGAUAUUGUUGCUUUUAAUGAUUUUAUAAUAACUUUUAUCAGGUGAGAUUUCUUAAAUCAUAUCAAACCCAUUUCUUGGGAAGAAUUUAGCAUUAGUUAUGGAGGAUGGUUUUGGUUAUAGGUUUUUGUGCUGUAUUUGCUACUUCCAUUAGUUUGAAGUAUUGCCUAUAUUUAACUUUUCCAUAUCUAUGUUUUUGUUUUGUUUUGUUUUUGGAACCUAGGGGCACUUAACCACUGAGUCACAUCUCCAGCCCUUUUUUAUAUUUUAUUUAGAGACAGGGUGUCCUGACUUUGUGUAGGACCUUGCUAAAUUGCUAAGGCUGGGCUGGGCACAGUGGUGCAUAUCUGUAAUCC